GAUGAACGCUAGCUACAGGCUUAACACAUGCAAGUCGAGGGGAAACGAUGAGAGAGCUUGCUCUCUUAGGCGUCGACCGGCGCACGGGUGAGUAACGCGUAUCCAACCUACCCAUUACAGGGGGAUAACCUUGCGAAAGUAAGACUAAUACCCCAUGGCAUUUUAUGGUGGCAUCAUUAUAGGAUUAAAGAUUUAUUGGUAAUGGAUGGGGAUGCGUCUGAUUAGCUUGUUGGCGGGGUAACGGCCCACCAAGGCAACGAUCAGUAGGGGUUCUGAGAGGAAGGUCCCCCACAUUGGAACUGAGACACGGUCCAAACUCCUACGGGAGGCAGCAGUGAGGAAUAUUGGUCAAUGGGCGAGAGCUUGAACCAGCCAAGUAGCGUGCAGGAUGACGGCCCUAUGGGUUGUAAACUGCUUUUAUAGGGGAAUAAAGUGAGCUACGUGUAGUUUAUUGAAUGUACCCUAUGAAUAAGGACCGGCUAAUUCCGUG
RNAcentral lists this ribosomal RNA (490 nucleotides) under uncultured bacterium. RNAcentral's name for it is "partial 16S ribosomal RNA". It matches the Rfam family "Bacterial small subunit ribosomal RNA", at positions 28 to 507 of the family's 1533-position model. The record is from RNAcentral.